This 463-nucleotide ribosomal RNA is filed under the name uncultured bacterium. RNAcentral's name for it is "partial 16S ribosomal RNA". It matches the Rfam family "Bacterial small subunit ribosomal RNA", at positions 28 to 507 of the family's 1533-position model. The record is from RNAcentral.
GAUGAACGCUGACAGAAUGCUUAACACAUGCAAGUCUUUGGCGAAUCUGUGCUUGCACAGGCUAGCCAAGGCGGACGGGUGAGUAACGCGUAAAGAACUUGCCCUGCAGACAGGGAUAACAGACGGAAACGACUGAUAACACCUGAUACAGUUGCCGGCACGCAUGUGCCUGGCAAUGAAAAGAGAUGCUGCAGGAGAGCUUUGCGUCCUAUUAGCUUGUUGGUGAGGUGACGGCUCACCAAGGCGAUGAUAGGUAGCCGGCCUGAGAGGGUGAACGGCCACAAGGGGACUGAGAGACGGCCCUUACUCCUACGGGAGGCAGCAGUGGGGAAUAUUGGACAAUGGGGGCAACCCUGAUCCAGCAAUUCUGUGUGCACGAAGAAGGUUUUCGGAGUGUAAAGUGCUUUCAGCAGGGAAGAAGAAAGUGACGGUACCUGCAGAAGAAGCGACGGCUAAAUACGUG